AGAGAGAGACAUGCGCGCAUAUCAAUAAGCGGAGGAAAAGAAACUAACAAGGAUUCCCCUAGUAACGGCGAGUGAAGCGGGAAGAGCUCAAAUUUCGAAAUCUUAAAGGGUUUCCCUUUACGAAUUGUAGUUUAAAGAAGUGUUUUCUGUUGAGGUUUUGGUAAAAGUUCUUUGGAAUAGGACAUCAUAGAGGGUGAGAAUCCCGUAUUUGACCAUUACUUUCCAGCUUUGUGAUACACUUUCAAAGAGUCGGAUUGUUUGGGAAUGCAGUCCAAAAUGGGUGGUAAAUUUCAUCUAAAGCUAAAUAUUGGCGAGAGACCGAUAGCGAACAAGUACCGUGAGGGAAAGAUGAAAAGAACUCUUGAAAAGAGAGUUAAACAGUACGUGAAAUUGUCAAAAGGGAAGCGUUUGGACACCAGUGUUGUUUUCUCGAAAAUCAAUUAAAAAAGGCAGGAUUUUGUGUUGUAUUGACUUUAUCAGCUUUCUGCACUCUUUUCUUGUCUUGUUAAUGCACUUUUCGUUUAACAAGUCAACAUCAAUUUCUUUUGUUGUAAAAGGGUCAUUGGAAGGUGGCUUUCUUUUCGGAGAAAGUGUUUAUAGCCUUUGGCCUCUGCAAUCGGAGAGAUUGAGGUCUGCAGCGUAGAUCCUUCGGGGUUAGAUACAUUUGUGCUAAGUUAUAGCCUUUCAUAGACAACUUGUUGACUAUGAUCAGUCCAUGUAGCUUACUCGCUUAUGCUAUUUUACCUACGCUUAGGAUGUUGAUGUGAUACUGCGAGCA
This 778-nucleotide ribosomal RNA is filed under the name uncultured Neocallimastigales. RNAcentral's name for it is "partial large subunit ribosomal RNA". It matches the Rfam family "Eukaryotic large subunit ribosomal RNA", at positions 23 to 628 of the family's 3401-position model. The record is from RNAcentral. Lineage: Eukaryota; Fungi; Neocallimastigomycota; Neocallimastigomycetes; Neocallimastigales.